UUUACUUUAGUAAAAGUAGAAUUAUAUUAUCUUGAUAAGGUAAAGUUAGUAAGUAAAA
RNAcentral lists this transfer RNA (58 nucleotides) under Protostrongylus rufescens. Its description in RNAcentral is "tRNA-Ile". Lineage: Eukaryota; Metazoa; Nematoda; Chromadorea; Rhabditida; Metastrongylidae. The record is from RNAcentral.